ACUCAGCCUAUUGAUUUAUGAAUAUUUUAACCCCUCUAAGUAAAUCCCACUUUUAUUCCUUUCCGGGGGUAAAACAGAAUUCUUGAAACUACCGGCUAAACAUUUUCUGUAACAGGAAGUGAAGGUUAGCAUUAAUGGAUUUGUGUUAUCAGGUUGUCCUAAGAUGGCACGCUGUCUCGUAUCAGUUCAGUGACAUAAAUGCUAAAAUGCAGAUUUGAUUUCAGUAAAACAACAUUUUCUACUCUCUCAGCCUUUUUGCAUUUCCUUAUUUUUUAUUUUACCGUACACGUUAUUUCUUUCUCUCAAGAGGUGAAAAAAAUCCUCCACUGAAGUGUUAAUGGAUAAUGUGACACUGCAAUCAACACAUCAGUGAAGGAUUUUUACCCCUCGAGCACGAAACAACAAGCAAAGUUUUCUAUUGACUGUGGACGAUACUCAGACUCUCUCAGGCCCUGUGUGCGUCACAUUUCCUCAUUUAUGUCUGUUUAAGCUCUAAUUCACACGCACUGAGGUCACACGCUCGGUUUGGAGCAUAAAAGAGCAGCAGGACGACCAACACGAGCCACACACACUCCUGAAGGCUGCUGGGAGAGGCACGGGAGGGUGUCUCUGUCUGGACCCGCUUCGCCGUGGGUCUUCAGUCCAGCAUUGCACAACAGCGGCAGCAGAUUUGGAGGGCGUUUGGCUCUGCUCAUCGGCUCUGAACGAGCGGCACCGCGGUGGCUCUGAUUGGCUGCCUGGAUACAUAAACAUCCAUUGAGCGUGCCUUCAGGUGACGGAGAGGUUUAAGUACAGUCGUAUGAUGUGACCACAAGAAAUGCCAAACAGACCCGCGAGUCCAAAGUGGAAGACUUAAAUUGACUCAGAUGACACGAAGCCGUCCAUUAGUGUGUAAAUCUGAAAUCUAAAGAAAACAUCUGUGCCAUCAGCGUGAUGCAGACUUCGCAUCAGGCCUGUCUGAUUCUGCCUGGACAGUUUGUUCCUCAGAGUUUUUCCCUGGAAGCGGAGCGGCGUGCGCCUGUUGUCAGCCGACGUUUGGAAACAAAGCGUGCAGAGAGUCAUCUUUUCUUAACAGACCAUCAACGCACAGCCAGAGGUGAAGUCACUUUUAUGGAAAUGAGGAAGAUGAGAGGAAGUGGGUGGAGCCCAGACCGGCUUCAGACCCGCUGACACCAGCUGAACGGGCACAGAGUGCCCGUGCAUGAGCUCAGGCAUCGAAGCACACAAGCUUUAGCAGUCUGUUUGCCACGAGUGAAUGCACCACGAUGGUCUGAAGGUGGCUGAUGGUGAACCAAGAAGGUGUUGCUUUGUUAGACGUCCCUGUUGUGUGAUUUUAAAAAAAAGAAACAGAAACUAUGACUGUUUAUUUUUGAUGUUCCUCCCUCCAGCCCCAGCUAUAACCCCCCACCCCCCACCCCAAACACCUGGAAACCUGAUGAUCAGUAGUUGGCAUCGUUGGCCUCAGCUGUACCCAGAAUGUUUUUUAAGACAUGAUGUUAAAGCAUGGAGCUAUGAUCAGAGACGCCUUCAUCUUUCUGCAAACAGUUCCUUCAACACAGAGAGGCUGUUGGUUUCACUCGGUUGUGUGAGCCUGUUUAAAAGUCAGAACAUGACAAAUGUAAAUGAUUUCUCUGAUUUAUAACUUUCAUUUUCCUCCAAAUCGUUGAGAUUUCCUGUUGCAUAAAUGAAACUGAAUUAAACGUGUUAAUCUGUUUCUCAAUUUAUUCCCUAAAAGUUUUGGCCCACCCUGUUUGAAUUUAACUGUCAGCAGUUUGGAUUCACUGUGUCUAAAUAUUAAUAUUAUCAUAUUAAUUGUAUUAUAUUUUUAUACUAAUAUAUGAUUAAUAUUUUACUAUAGAUAUUAUGACUUCCUAUUUCUGUGUAUCACUCGUCCAGCCAUAGACUGUAUAUCCAUGAUGUCAUCCAUGAGGGUGGAGUGCUUCAGUGAUGGAGUCGAGUGCUUCAGCAUCUGAUCCGUUAGCCUGAACUGUCACUAAAUAGUAAACUAAACUUUGAGUGAUGUACUGUAAAAAUAAGACUGUAAAUAACAGAUGGAAGUAAACACGUCACCCGCUGGUUUGUGGAGUUCUGUUUGAAAACCAUGAUUUUAAUGUUAUCACAAUUUUUUAAUCCACAGUCUGUGCACAGAGAGCCCGUACUUCACUUAUAUAU
Long non-coding RNA from Oreochromis niloticus (Nile tilapia), 2172 nucleotides. RefSeq lists it as uncharacterized. The record is from RefSeq and is a predicted model, not a curated record. The transcript has 4 exons. Lineage: Eukaryota; Metazoa; Chordata; Actinopteri; Cichliformes; Cichlidae.